Molecule: non-coding RNA, 112 nt
Organism: Podospora aff. communis PSN243
Lineage: Eukaryota; Fungi; Ascomycota; Sordariomycetes; Sordariales; Podosporaceae
Source: the annotation of a GenBank genome assembly
GGUCCGCUGGCUCAAUGGCAGAGCGUCUGACUACGAGAUUAUUAGGGUUGCACUAAAAGGCAUCUUGAUGUCAGUUAUCAGGAGGUUCCAGGUUCGACCCCUGGGUGGAUCG